RNAcentral lists this ribosomal RNA (676 nucleotides) under uncultured bacterium. RNAcentral's name for it is "bacterial SSU rRNA". It matches the Rfam family "Bacterial small subunit ribosomal RNA", at positions 62 to 717 of the family's 1533-position model. The record is from RNAcentral.
UCGAGCGGAAACGAGUUAACUGAACCUUCGGGGAACGUUAACGGCGUCGAGCGGCGGACGGGUGAGUAAUGCCUGGGAAAUUGCCCUGAUGUGGGGGAUAACCAUUGGAAACGAUGGCUAAUACCGCAUAAUAGCUUCGGCUCAAAGAGGGGGACCUUCGGGCCUCUCGCGUCAGGAUAUGCCCAGGUGGGAUUAGCUAGUUGGUGAGGUAAUGGCUCACCAAGGCGACGAUCCCUAGCUGGUCUGAGAGGAUGAUCAGCCACACUGGAACUGAGGCACGGUCCAGACUCCUACGGGAGGCAGCAGUGGGGAAUAUUGCACAAUGGGCGCAAGCCUGAUGCAGCCAUGCCGCGUGUGUGAAGAAGGCCUUCGGGUUGUAAAGCACUUUCAGCAGUGAGGAAGGCGGUGUAGUUAAUAGCUGCAUCGUUUGACGUUAGCUGCAGAAGAAGCACCGGCUAACUCCGUGCCAGCAGCCGCGGUAAUACGGAGGGUGCGAGCGUUAAUCGGAAUUACUGGGCGUAAAGCGCAUGCAGGUGGUUAGUUAAGUCAGAUGUGUAAGCCCGGGGCUCAACCUCGGAACUGCAUUUGAAACUGGCUGACUAGAGUACUGUAGAGGGGGGUAGAAUUUCAGGUGUAGCGGUGAAAUGCGUAGAGAUCUGAAGGAAUACCGGUGGCG